Silurus meridionalis is the source of this 1292-nucleotide long non-coding RNA. RefSeq lists it as uncharacterized. The transcript has 3 exons. The record is from RefSeq and is a predicted model, not a curated record. Lineage: Eukaryota; Metazoa; Chordata; Actinopteri; Siluriformes; Siluridae.
AGGUGGGUUUUUCACUAAACGUUCAAUGUGCUCAUCUGGGCCAAAUACAUUUUCUCCAAGGCCCUGCUAUCCGAAAUAUUCUAUAUAUAUAAUCUAUUCUAUAUUAUAGUGGAUGGAUGUUGAGUGUCUCAGUGUAAUUUAAAUUAUAAAUUUUUUUUUAAUGAUAUUUGUCCUAAGAUGCAAAAUUACUCGGUUCAUUAUUUUACAAUUAUGCAUGACAUUCUUGGGGUCAAUAUUGUCAAUACAGUCAAUUUAAUGGGGUUCCAAAUGUCUGGUCAUGGUCUAACACCAAACAACUGAAUAUUAAAGCCUUUGCCUAGGCACUGUGUUCCAUUCCACUGGAAAUCUGAUUAGUCUCCAACCUCAAAGGCUUAGUGAUACCAUGUAUUUUCUCAAACUGGAAAAGAUUUGAUCGUCUGUAGGGUAACUUUUAAAAUCAUUUGCAUUCUUUUAAACUUUAAGCCUCAUAUAACUCUGCCUUCUAUCUAGGCCCCUUCUAUUUUUUCCCCUCUUCUUUACUAUUAUGUAUUAUUGUUUUUUGGAUAAUGAUUGUGGUAAUGUUUGUUUGCUCAUGUGAAUACCCAUUUACCCAAACUCUACUUGUAUUUUCAUUAUAUGUGAUAUUUCUAAUGCUAUUUGUGGUUGUAUAAUAAGAAGGAUAAUGUAUAGUAACAUUUUGAAUAACCAUAAUAUGGAAUGUUGCACAACAAAAAGUUCAAAAACAAGAUUCCAAAUUUGCUACCAUAAAUGUAUACAAAAUAUUCAACGUUAUCAAGUAGUGAAGGUCUUAGUUUCUGUUGCUCAAUCCUAUAUGAAAGUAAAACAUACUACUUUUUGCUAUAUAUAUAUAUUGUAAAUAUUUUAAACUAGUGUAACUUGUCACACAGCUGAGGUACAUUCUUUAGGUAUAAAGGAAAAUGAAAGCACACUAAGCUAAGCACACUAAGCUAUAGAAGCGAGCAGGUUGUGGAACUCGACACGUUAAGUAAACUUCUCAGCUGUCCCUGGUCUAAAGGGCUGCCUUGAGCUAAAAUAUUUACUACCGUAUGAGAUUGGAUAAGGAGAACUUGCUUUCAGGUAAUUCUGCAAUGGGACAGAGCAACAGUGGCCACAUAUACUACACUAUGUACCAUGGUACAACAUUGGAUGCAGCAAAAAAAAUCGUGCGUAAAGGUUUCAAACGCUCCUCUGAUGGUAUGCUCGGGCCUGGCAUCUAUCUGAGCAAAAGUGUGGAUAAAGCUGCACGUUACCCUCUAAAACCUAAAGGCAAGAGACUGGCCAUCCUGAAACUG